This 520-nucleotide ribosomal RNA is filed under the name uncultured Entrophospora. Its description in RNAcentral is "SSU rRNA". It matches the Rfam family "Eukaryotic small subunit ribosomal RNA", at positions 569 to 1084 of the family's 1831-position model. The record is from RNAcentral. Lineage: Eukaryota; Fungi; Glomeromycota; Glomeromycetes; Entrophosporales; Entrophosporaceae.
AGCAGCCGCGGUAAUUCCAGCUCCAAUAGCGUAUAUUAAAGUUGUUGCAGUUAAAAAGCUCGUAGUUGAAUUUCGGGAUUGGCGCAUCGGUCGUGCCUCACGGGGUAUGAACUGGUGCAGUCAAUUUCUCACCUUCUGGAGAACCGCGAUGUCCUUAAUUGGAUGCCGCGGGGAACCAGGACCUUUACUUUGAAAAAUUAGAGUGUUUAAAGCAGGCAUUUUUGCUUGAAUACAUUAGCAUGGAAUAAUAAAAUAGGACGGCAUGGUUCUAUUUUGUUGGUUUCUAGGACCACCGUAAUGAUUAAUAGGGAUAGUUGGGGGCAUUAGUAUUCAAUUGUCAGAGGUGAAAUUCUUGGAUUUAUUGAAGACUAACUACUGCGAAAGCAUUUGCCAAGGAUGUUUUCAUUAAUCAAGAACGAAAGUUAGGGGAUCGAAGACGAUCAGAUACCGUCGUAGUCUUAACCAUAAACUAUGCCGACUAGGAAUCAGACGAUGUUAAUUUUUUAANGACUCGUUUGGU